UACCAGCACCCCGAGUGGUCGGGACGAUUAUUGGGCCUAAAGCAUCCGUAGCCGGUCCUUCAAGUCUUCCGUUAAAUCCACCUGCUUAACAGAUGGGCUGCGGAAGAUACUAUAGGGCUAGGAGGCGGGAGAGGCAAGCGGUACUCAGUGGGUAGGGGUAAAAUCCGUUGAUCCAUUGAAGACCACCAGUGGCGAAGGCGGCUUGCCAGAAUGCGCUCGACGGUGAGGGAUGAAAGCUGGGGGAGCAAACCGG
This 253-nucleotide ribosomal RNA is filed under the name uncultured bacterium. RNAcentral's name for it is "partial 16S ribosomal RNA". It matches the Rfam family "Archaeal small subunit ribosomal RNA", at positions 474 to 727 of the family's 1478-position model. The record is from RNAcentral.